This is a long non-coding RNA of Daucus carota subsp. sativus, 1851 nucleotides long. RefSeq lists it as uncharacterized. The transcript is spliced from 5 exons. The record is from RefSeq and is a predicted model, not a curated record. Lineage: Eukaryota; Viridiplantae; Streptophyta; Magnoliopsida; Apiales; Apiaceae.
UCCUGCAAAAAUAAUACAAACUGUCAGCCUUGCUCAUGCUUAUAUCAAAAUCUUAUUAGCUUAGAGAGAGCAUAUAUUGAAAGUAACUUUGUCCACAAAUUCUGACACCAUCACAUACGAGGAUACAGUAUAAAGAACUGCCAGGUGGAAUCAACAAUGGAGGAGAAGCAGACAGGUGAACUGGAAAGAUCAAAUCCAUCAUCUGGACCAAGAGACCAUGGUGGGAUAUUCUCGUGGAAACAGUGUUGCAUUCUAUACUCAACACAUACUAUCAUGAUAGACUUUUUGUAUACAAGAUCAGAGGAAAAGAAAAUUAAGUCUUUUGGAUAGCAUUUUCAUAAGACAGAGAAACAGUAUAAUCAAUUUUUGUUAAGGCAGGCACAUAUCACCAAUCUAUAAUAAGGUAAUAAUUAUAAAACUGGAGCUUCUAUACAAGCACGUAAAACUUUCUAAGAUAUAAUAUUAUCUACCUGACCUAAAUUUGUUUUCUAAAAUGGCUUUGGAUUCUGGCAAAUAGAACUUGUCAGAGUCUAAAAGCAAGUGAGGGAGAAUGUAUGUACUCUGCAGGCCUAAAUAUUUAAAGCUCCAUGUAUACUAAUCCAUGCAGAUUCUAGAUUAUAGGCAAAGUGUUUGGUGAAAAUAGACUGUAGCUAGGAGGAUCAUGGCCUUAAAAGCGCUAUAACACACUUUAAGUACAAGCUAAGAGGCAAUGAGGUCCAUGGGUGCAUAGCUUGCCACAGUGUAAAAGCAAAUCAGCAUGAAUGCUUGUAGGCCCAGUGGCCCAUAUUUAUAAAGGUCCAUGGUCAAUAGUCAGUGCAGAACCUAGAUUACAGAAAAGAAUGAAUUUUGUGGAAAUAGCUUGUAGCUGUAAGGACCAUGACCUUAUAGCCCCGCAUACUUAAGUACAAGCCAGGAGGCAUGGUUGCAUAGUAUGAAGCCGCCGUGCACUAUAUCAAAUGGGCUUAAGAGAUAAACAGUAUGGUUUCAGCUUACACAAGAAUAUAUGUCUGAACUAGGUGAAAAGAUCAAUUGUCACUAAUGGUUACCAAACACUUUAACAGAUAAUACUGUGGUUAUAAUAUACAGGACCAACGCUAAUCACUGAUCAAGUGACUUUAAUCUCCUAACCAUCAACCCAGAUUCAGUGUACCAAAAAAUAUUUUAAACAAAGACUUAAAAGUUUAAACCUAUAUCUGUUAGUUCUCAUUUAUUUUAGCAGCCACUGAAGAUAGACAGUAAUUGCAGUAUAAUACUGGAGCCUCUUUACUUAUUCCUAUUUCAUCAAGUUGGCAAUCUCAAAUGUAGAGAGAAGCAAUUAUAAUCUCACACUUCCAGUGCCAACAAAAAUAUGAGGUUGCAUUCAAAAGUCAGUUAAGCAGAUAUAGUGUAAAUGUCAACAUAUCAAUAGCUCUUUUCAUAGACAUCUGAUUCAUUUCCAAGCCUAUGCACGAACUGAUAGCUGAAGUAGCUAUGCACACUGCCAAUACGAGACUCAGAAGGUGGUAAUGUAAAUCUAAUUCAGUAGCAAGAUUAUGCCAGGAAUCCCUGAUGCCAAUGAAUUGAACAACGGAGUUAUCUGGAUCGGAGAACUGAACUGGGAAUUUGAGAUGGCACAAAUAACUUCAUCAUCAGUUUCUGGAUUACUACAAGAUGGUGCAACACAGAUAACUUCUUUAGCAACAUCAGCAAGGAUUUUGUGAUCUCCUAUAGUUGAUCCAGUACUAUACUCGGAGCUAUCGGGAGAGUCUACAUAUAAAUCUGAUAGCCUGCAAGAGCCAUUAGUUAGUCUAAUGAGCUGUAAAUAUCCUGCUGAAGCCCAUUCCAGUUCUGGAAAAAUGUAAUUACCUCCAA